UUAUCGGAGAGUUUGAUCCUGGCUCAGGACGAACGCUGGCGGCGUGCCUAAUACAUGCAAGUCGAGCGGACAGAUGGGAGCUUGCUCCCUGAUGUUAGCGGCGGACGGGUGAGUAACACGUGGGUAACCUGCCUGUAAGACUGGGAUAACUCCGGGAAACCGGGGCUAAUACCGGAUACUUGUUUGAACCGCAUG
Molecule: ribosomal RNA, 195 nt
Filed under: Bacillus sp. ISL-32
Lineage: Bacteria; Bacillati; Bacillota; Bacilli; Caryophanales; Bacillaceae
Description: partial 16S ribosomal RNA
Rfam family: Bacterial small subunit ribosomal RNA
Source: RNAcentral